RNAcentral lists this ribosomal RNA (464 nucleotides) under uncultured bacterium. RNAcentral's name for it is "partial 16S ribosomal RNA". It matches the Rfam family "Bacterial small subunit ribosomal RNA", at positions 28 to 506 of the family's 1533-position model. The record is from RNAcentral.
GAUGAACGCUGGCGGCGUGCUUAACACAUGCAAGUCGAACGGAAAGGCUCCUGCUUGCGGGGGUACUCGAGUGGCGAACGGGUGAGUAACACGUGGGUGAUCUGCCCUGCACUUCGGGAUAAGCCUGGGAAACUGGGUCUAAUACCGGAUAGGACGAUGGUUUGGAUGCCAUUGUGGAAAGUUUUUCGGUGUGGGAUGAGCUCGCGGCCUAUCAGCUUGUUGGUGGGGUAAUGGCCUACCAAGGCGUCGACGGGUAGCCGGCCUGAGAGGGUGUACGGCCACAUUGGGACUGAGAUACGGCCCAGACUCCUACGGGAGGCAGCAGUGGGGAAUAUUGCACAAUGGGCGCAAGCCUGAUGCAGCGACGCCGCGUGGGGGAUGACGGCCUUCGGGUUGUAAACUCCUUUCGCUAGGGACGAAGCGCAAGUGACGGUACCUGGAGAAGAAGCACCGGCUAACUACGU